UACAGAGGUCCCGAGCGUUGUUCGGAUUCACUGGGCGUAAAGGGUGCGCAGGUGGGUUUGCAAGUUCGAUGUGAAAGCCCCGGGCUUAACCCGGGAAUGGCAUUGGAUACUGCAGAUCUGGAGGAUCGGAGGGGGGACUGGAAUUCUUGGUGUAGCAGUGAAAUGCGUAGAUAUCAGGAGGAACACCGGUGGUGUAGACGGCUUUCUGGACCGUAACUGACGCUGAGACACGAAAGCGUGGGUAGCAAACAGG
This 253-nucleotide ribosomal RNA is filed under the name uncultured bacterium. RNAcentral describes it as "partial 16S ribosomal RNA". It matches the Rfam family "Bacterial small subunit ribosomal RNA", at positions 524 to 776 of the family's 1533-position model. The record is from RNAcentral.